UUCUAGAGUUUGAUCAUGGCUCAAAUUGAACGCUGGCGGCAGGCCUAACACAUGCAAGUCGAGCGGUAGAGAGAAGCUUGCUUCUCUUGAGAGCGGCGGACGGGUGAGUAAUACCUAGGAAUCUGCCUGAUAGUGGGGGAUAACGUUCGGAAACGGACGCUAAUACCGCAUACGUCCUACGGGAGAAAGCAGGGGACCUUCGGGCCUUGCGCUAUCAGAUGAGCCUAGGUCGGAUUAGCUAGUUGGUGAGGUAAUGGCUCACCAAGGCUACGAUCCGUAACUGGUCUGAGAGGAUGAUCAGUCACACUGGAACUGAGACACGGUCCAGACUCCUACGGGAGGCAGCAGUGGGGAAUAUUGGACAAUGGGCGAAAGCCUGAUCCAGCCAUGCCGCGUGUGUGAAGAAGGUCUUCGGAUUGUAAAGCACUUUAAGUUGGGAGGAAGGGCAGUAAAUUAAUACUUUGCUGUUUUGACGUUACCGACAGAAUAAGCACCGGCUAACUCUGUGCCAGCAGCCGCGGUAAUACAGAGGGUGCAAGCGUUAAUCGGAAUUACUGGGCGUAAAGCGCGCGUAGGUGGUUUGUUAAGUUGAAUGUGAAAUCCCCGGGCUCAACCUGGGAACUGCAUCCAAAACUGGCAAGCUAGAGUAUGGUAGAGGGUAGUGGAAUUUCCUGUGUAGCGGUGAAAUGCGUAAAUAUAGGAAGGAACACCAGUGGCGAAGGCGACUACCUGGACUGAUACUGACACUGAGGUGCGAAAGCGUGGGGAGCAAACAGGAUUAAAUACCCUGGUAGUCCACGCCGUAAACGAUGUCAACUAGCCGUUGGGAGUCUUGAACUCUUAGUGGCGCAGCUAACGCAUUAAGUUGACCGCCUGGGGAGUACGGCCGCAAGGUUAAAACUCAAAUG
RNAcentral lists this ribosomal RNA (908 nucleotides) under uncultured Pseudomonas sp. Its description in RNAcentral is "bacterial SSU rRNA". It matches the Rfam family "Bacterial small subunit ribosomal RNA", at positions 1 to 907 of the family's 1533-position model. Lineage: Bacteria; Pseudomonadati; Pseudomonadota; Gammaproteobacteria; Pseudomonadales; Pseudomonadaceae. The record is from RNAcentral.